AUUGAACGCUGGCGGCAUGCCUUACACAUGCAAGUCGAACGGCAGCACGGGUGCCUGCACCUGGUGGCGAGUGGCGAACGGGUGAGUAAUACAUCGGAACGUACCUUAUCGUGGGGGAUAACGCAGCGAAAGCUGUGCUAAUACCGCAUACGCCCUGAGGGGGAAAGCGGGGGAUCGCAAGACCUCGCGCGAUUAGAGCGGCCGAUGCCUGAUUAGCUAGUUGGUGGGGUAAAAGCCCACCAAGGCGACGAUCAGUAGCUGGUCUGAGAGGACGAUCAGCCACACUGGGACUGAGACACGGCCCAGACUCCUACGGGAGGCAGCAGUGGGGAAUUUUGGACAAUGGGGGCAACCCUGAUCCCGCAAUGCCGCGUGAGUGAAGAAGGCCUUCGGGUUGUAAAGCUCUUUUGUCAGGGAAGAAACACCGGCUCUAACACAGUCCGGGAAUGACGGUACCUGGAGAGUAAGCACCGGCUAACUACGUGCCAGUAGCCGCCGUAA
This 501-nucleotide ribosomal RNA is filed under the name uncultured bacterium. RNAcentral's name for it is "partial 16S ribosomal RNA". It matches the Rfam family "Bacterial small subunit ribosomal RNA", at positions 29 to 523 of the family's 1533-position model. The record is from RNAcentral.